GGUUUGAUUCUGGCUCAGAUUGAACGCUGGCGGAUGUUUACACAUGCAAGUCGAACGCGCACGGACUUCGUCUGGUGGCGAGUGGCGAACGGGUGAGUAAUGUAUCGAACGUGCCUAGUAGCGGGGAUAACUACGCCGAAAGCGUAGCCAAUACCGUAUACGCCCUUCGGGGGAAAGCGGGGGGACCUUCGGGCCUCGCACUAUUAGAGCGGCCGAUAUCGGAUUAGCUAGUUGGUGGGGUAACGGCUCAGCCACAAGUGACGAUCCGUAGCUGGUUUGAGAGGACGACCAGCCACCUGGGACUGAGACACGGCCCAGACUCCUACGGGAGGCAGCAGUGGGAAUUUUGGAUAUGGGAAACUUAUCCAGCCAUCCCGCGUGUGCGAUGAAGGCCUUCGGGUUGUAAAGCACUUUUGGCAGGAAGAAACGGCACGGGAUAAUACCCCGCGCAACUGACGGUACUCGCAGAAUAAGCACCGGCUAACUACGUGCCAGCAGCCGCGGUAAUACGUAGGGUGCAAGCGUUAAUCGGAAAUUAUCAAAGCGCAAAGCGUGCGCAGCGGUCUGGAAAGAAAGAUGGAAAUCCCAGAGCUUAACUUUUGGAACUGCAUUUUUAACUACCGAGCUAGAGUGUGUCAGAGAGGUGGAAUUCCGCGUGUAGCAGUGAAAUGCGUAGAUAUGCGGAGGAACACCGAUGGCGAAGGCAGCCUCCUGGGGAUAACACUGACGCUCAUGCACGAAAGUGUGGGGAUGUAAACAGGAUUAGAUACCCUGGUAGUCCACGCCCCAAAUGAUGUCAACUAGCUGUUGGGGCCUUCAGCUUCUGUAGCGCAGCUAACGCAGUUGACCGCCUGGGGAGUACGGUCGCAAGAUUAAACUCAAAGGAAUUGACGGGACCCGCACAAGCGGUGGAUGAUGUGGAUUAAUCUGAUAACGCGAAAACCUUACCUAAAUUUUGACAUGUCUGAAUCCCGAAGAGAUUUGGGAGUGCUCGCAAGAGAACCGAACACAGGUGCUGCACAGUCGUCAGCUCGUGUCGAGAUGUUGGGUUAAGUCCCAACGAGCGCAACCCUUGUCAUUAGUUGCUACGGUACGGCACUCUGACGAGACUGCCGGUGACAAACCGAGGAAGGUGGAUGACGUCAAGUCCAUGGCCCGGCGGGCAGGGCUUCACACGUCAUACAAUGGUCGGGCAGAGGGCCGCCAACCCGCGAGGGGAGCCAAUCCCAGAAACCCGAUCGUAGGGUCCGGAUCGCGCAGUCUGCAACCUGACUGCGUGAAGCCGGAAUCGCUAGUAAUCGCGGAUCAGCAUGUCGCAGAAUACGCCCCGGCUCACACACCGCCCGUCACAUCAUGGAGUGGGUUUUACCAGAAGUAGUUAGCCUAACUGCAAGGAGGGCGAUUACCACGGUAGGAUUCAUGACUGGGGUAAAGUCGUAUCAAGGUA
Molecule: ribosomal RNA, 1447 nt
Filed under: uncultured Bordetella sp.
Lineage: Bacteria; Pseudomonadati; Pseudomonadota; Betaproteobacteria; Burkholderiales; Alcaligenaceae
Description: partial 16S-23S ribosomal RNA intergenic spacer
Rfam family: Bacterial small subunit ribosomal RNA
Source: RNAcentral